This 1738-nucleotide long non-coding RNA is filed under the name Sus scrofa (pig). RNAcentral's name for it is "lncRNA (ENSSSCG00055016458.1)". The record is from RNAcentral. Lineage: Eukaryota; Metazoa; Chordata; Mammalia; Artiodactyla; Suidae.
GGGAGGGGGAAGGGGGUCAGCCAAGGGGCAUUCAACUCUGUGUGAUGCUGUGUCUGAGAGGGACCCCGACGUCUCAGGCUGGGAGAAAUCCUCAGGAGUCAUCCUGUCACUUCGUCGCAGUAAUCCAGGGGCAGAAGGCUGGGCCGUGCCCGUGGCGGGUUGCCGGGGGGGGAACGCCCUGAGGCCGCCGUUCCUGCAGCCUGCUUCACUGCUCUGAAGCUGAGCUCUGAUGUCCCCUGGGUGGCCAUUCUUCAAAGUCCAACCAGAGUUGCCCUGAUCCUCUGCUCCUGUCUAUACUUCUCAGCUCGGAGCCAGGGCCGUCGAGGGCAGGUUGGGCUCCAGCUCCAAGCCUGCCUCCAUCACUGUGGAGAGUGUGAGCCAAGCUUCUCCCCCGGGAAACCGGCGCCUCACUGGGACUGGGGUUUGCUGUUUGCUUCAGUCUGCAUGCUUGUUGGUGAAGACACGCAUCGAUCCCCCAGCUGGUGUGGGAGGUGACCUGGGCCAGGCUGCUGAGGCGUAAGAUCUGUAACAGGCCCUGUGACCCCGUCUUUUUUUUUUUUUUUUUUAAAUUAGACUUGAUUUACAAUGUCCUGUCAACUUCUGCUCUGCAGCAAAGUGACCAAGUUAUAAUAUCUGUGAUCCUGUUUUUAUUUGAGGAUUUGCUAUUUUGUUCAUCACAGAGCUUUUUUUGGGGGGGGGGGGCAUUUACCUUGACUUCCCAAAAUGCUGCAUUAUGAAUCUGGAUCCCCCAGUCGUUUGGUGCUCCCUUCAGUUUGGGGCUGUCAGCUGCCGCCCUGGCUGCACCUGCCCAGUCCUGCUCUUCCUGAACGAAUCAGAAAGUCAUGGAUGGACAGGAGAUGGAUCGCCCCAGGCAGCUCGGCCAUGGAGUCCCAGCCUCCGCUACAGGGAGGGUCAAAAGCCCUGCCUGGCUCUGUGGUUUGCAGAAACUUGAAGCCUCUUAAACUUUCCUGAGUGCCAGCCGCCUCCUGGGAGCCAGGAGGGCCAGGGAUGUGCCGGCUGCCCUGACUGCCUGCUCUGCCCACUAGAUGGCGCCCUGGCUGCACAGGCCUCAAGCACAGAGGACACUGAGCCACGGAGAGGUGAGCUGACGCACCUGCAGUCCUUUACCAUAUUGACCAUUGGUUAUGGGGCAGGCAUUUGCACCCCCACCUACCCAAAUGCCCCUUCUUCCUGGAUUGUUUGGUCUCUUUUAGAGGCACCUUUACUCACCUGGUGAAAGCCAUAGGACUUCCUCCUUGGAAAAAGUGUGAAAAUAAUUUCGUGGGUUUCCAGAACCGCACAGGCGUAGCUGAACAAGCUCCUUCCUGCAUGUCUGCAGUCUCUGCUUUUGAUUUGGGGUUUAUCGUCAGCUCCUGGCUUUCUGUUCCAGUUAGGAAUCUCACCAUGUGAUCGACCCAUUCAUUCGAGACGUAUUUAUUGAGCGCCUCCUAUGCGCAAAGCCACUGUGCCAGGUGUUAAGAGAUCCCUGCCUUUGUCGAUGGGAAGGAAAAUGAUAAAAAUAGGCAUCACUGGAGUUCCUGCUGGGGCACAGCGGGUUAAGAGCCUGACUGUGGUGGCUUGGGUGGCAGCGGGUCACUGUGGGGGGUGUGGGUGCAAUCCCCAGCCCGGUGCAGUGGGUUAAAAAGAUCUGGGGGUAUUGCCGUAGCGGUGGCGUAUUGUCCACAGCUGAGGCUUGGAUUCACUCUCUGGCUCAGGAACUUCCAUGUGCCAUGGAUAC